Molecule: non-coding RNA, 145 nt
Filed under: Homo sapiens (human)
Lineage: Eukaryota; Metazoa; Chordata; Mammalia; Primates; Hominidae
Source: Rfam by way of RNAcentral
GCCGGGUGCGGUGGUGCGCACCUGUAGUCCCAGCUACUCUGGAGGCUGAGGCAGGAGAAUUGCUUGAACCUGGGAGGCAAAGGUUGCAGUGAGCCAAGAUUGCACUGCACUCCAGCCUGGGUGACCAAGCAAUACUCUGUCUCAA